This 591-nucleotide long non-coding RNA is filed under the name Mus musculus (house mouse). RNAcentral describes it as "RIKEN cDNA 1110020A21 gene". The record is from RNAcentral. Lineage: Eukaryota; Metazoa; Chordata; Mammalia; Rodentia; Muridae.
GGCCAAGCCCCGAGUCUGCGGACCCUGCAGUUCUGACCUCUACACUUCGCGGAGAACGAACACCAUAAAGAAACCAACGGGCAGUCCAGUUAUAGGUGGAAAUUGGUCCCACCCGGAGUGGAGAGAGCCGGCUUCUGAUUGGCCAGAGAAGUGCCCCUAGACCCUCAUUGGAAGAAGUGGCCGCCUCUCUUUGGCAUAGAGCUGUGAAGGAAGAGCUCAGAAAGGCAACACCAUUCUUGGGCUGAGGUCCUCGAUGUGCAUAGAAAGGAGAAAGGUGGAUGAGCACCAGCAUGCCACAGCCAUGAGGUCUGUCAGAAUAUUUUGGGCCAGAAGGCUGAAGACAAUGCUCCAACUUCCUGACUUACUGGUGCUAUAUAGAAAAGUACUUCCAUCGCGGUUGUGCGCAUGGCAGAGCAUGCUUGUGGAGGUCAGAGGAUCCCUUGUGGAAUCGGCUCCCCCCUUCCAUUUCUACAUGGGCUCCAGGGAUCAGACUUACACCAUCAGGCUUGCGAGACACUUGACCUGCUGAGCCAUCUUGCCGCUCCUCAAUUAGAAUUUUCAAUGAAAAUAAACUCUUGACCAUUGUGAGGG